GGAGGCCUGCGGAGCCCCCAGAGACACCUUCAGGCAGGAGCCCGCCAGGGAGCCUUGGGCACCCCCAGCCACGCAGGAUAGGCUGAGCUCGUGUCUGUUUCUCCUGCCACCACUGCCCGAGGCCGUGGGACCCGGGCCGGAGCAGCCGCACACCAGCGACUGAGCAGUCCCCUCCCUCUGGCCUUUGCACCAGGGGAUCACCACGGGCUAGAGGCCAGAGUCACCCUUGGCCCCUAGAGGUGGCUAGUCUCCUAGGGGUCGGGCUGCGCCCAUCUGGGAAAGGAAGCGCCACCCUCACCCUGUGCCCCCACCUCCCCAUCCACCCCCAGCUACACCCUGCUCAGCCUGAACCCCAGUGUGGGAGGGGUUCCCCAAAAGGAUUUCUUGUGACUUCUUGUUUUCAGCCGAGAAGAAAAUGUUUCAAGUGAAUGUUUCAGGGGCUGGGAGAGCAGGGAGAUAGGUGGUUGGUGCUGAAUGGGUCGUUUCAGUUUUGCAAGAUGACAAGAGCUCUGGAGAUGGGCGGCCAGCGAUGUGGACGCACGGAAAAAUGGUUAAGACGGAAAAUUUUAUGUUAGGGAGGGGGCUGGAAGAUGAGCAGCAAAAGUCCAGACGCGGACACUGGGGGACGCAGUGCAACCAUGGGACCCCAGAUCCCGCCUGCAGCCAUUCGUUCCAGAAAGAAAUGACACAGAGCUGGGGAGGAGGCGGAGGAGCAGACAGACUGAUAGCUACCAAGUGCCUGCGCUGGCAAGAAGCUUCCACAUCUCUGGAAUCACUUAAUGCUUCCAGCCUAUGAGCUCAGCUUUAUUGGCCUCAGUGUCAGAGCUGAGUGAACCAAGGCCCAGAAGAUACAGGUGUCGCCGCUACUGAGCCUGCCACCAGUGUCACUGGUGCCGGAGACGUCCCAGUCCUGUCCUGGGCCGAUCCUGGGAGGGGAGGAAUACAGCUCUCCUGGAAUCAGGUGUGUGACCAGUGCUGCCACUGAAGAGAAUGUCCUUGUUCUGAGGAGGCAGGUGCGACAGGACCCAGACGGUGUCGGGAAGUCUGGACCUUACUUGAAGUGGCUGAUAAAAAACUGGGUGUGCAGAUGGAACAUAAGCAAGAAGAGGUGUAAGCAAAUAGGGCAAAAUGCUAACAAUUGGCCAAUCUAGGUAAGUGGUACCAUGCUGUCCUUUCAACCUUUCUGAACGUCUGGAAACUUUUAAAACGAUGGAAGAAAGCCCCACCCACACGACAUCGCUCUUUUCAUAACCCACUACUGGCGUCUCAUCUCACUGAGAGCUCAUCAGCCCUAACACAGGCUCUAUGCAGCCUGGCCCCAGGCUGCCUCCCGCCCGCUUAGGAAUCCUGCUCCAAACAGCUCCACCUCAGGGCCUUUGCACAGGGGUUUGUCCCCUGUGGCAGCGAUGCUCUCCUUCAGCGACCUCACCGCUUUCAGCCUUUACACAUCACUUUCUCGGAGAGCUUCCCUGCCCCAUGGCCGGCUUGGUGACCCCACCGCUGCCUAGACCCUCCCGCUCCCCGUCCCCUCUCCCUCCUUCGUUCUUCUCCUUCCCUCUUAGCAGCAUCUGACAUACUCAGAGUUUGUGAAUUCGCUCCUUUAUCAUCUCUCUCCCACUAUAAGCUUUAGGAAGGCAGGGAUUUGUGUUCUUUUACUCAUGGCUGUGUCCCUGUCACCCAGAACAGCAUGGCACUCAGCCGGUGUUCUACAAAUACCUGCUGAAUGAAUGACAGGUGGCAGCCCCAGACACAUGAAAUAAUCCCACGCCUAUCCCACGCCUGAGCCACACAGCUCCCCUCUCCCUUCCCCUGAGCUUCAUCGGGUCCAUUUGCUACACCUCUAGCCUUCCCAUCAAUUCUGUGAGCUCCCCAAUAUCUACCCAAUAAAUUCCUUUUCUGCUUAAA
Phacochoerus africanus (Common warthog) is the source of this 1905-nucleotide long non-coding RNA. RefSeq lists it as uncharacterized. Lineage: Eukaryota; Metazoa; Chordata; Mammalia; Artiodactyla; Suidae. The transcript is spliced from 3 exons. The record is from RefSeq and is a predicted model, not a curated record.